UUAAGGUUUAUAAUCUUUCAUAUUUAAUACUAACAUAACAAAUAAUUUUUAAACAUUUCCUAUUCCAAUACUAGAAAAUAGAUAACUGUUUUUCGAUAUACAUCUCUUCAAGGCAUUAUAAAGAAUAUACAUGAAAGAAAGACACACACACAAAAACAACAUAUUUGUUCUUGUUUGACUAGAAUACAAAAGAGGAAGUAUUGAUACAUACAUGUGUAUUUUAGCUAGUACUUAUAGCAGUUAUAUGAUA
Molecule: non-coding RNA, 250 nt
Organism: Biomphalaria pfeifferi
Lineage: Eukaryota; Metazoa; Mollusca; Gastropoda; Planorbidae
Source: the annotation of a GenBank genome assembly